Molecule: long non-coding RNA, 437 nt
Filed under: Citrus sinensis (sweet orange)
Lineage: Eukaryota; Viridiplantae; Streptophyta; Magnoliopsida; Sapindales; Rutaceae
Description: long non-coding RNA (CSIN_LNC005571)
Source: RNAcentral
CCUACCAUUUACAAUGCUUUGAUAAUUUGUAAUCUAGUUAUUUUUAAGUACCCUGAAUAAAGUGUUUGGGAAUUCUGACAAAUCAUAAGAAUUGUGGGAACUACAAUAAAUAAACAAACAAAUAAAAAAAUGAACGAGGUUUGUAUUUUGAAUGUAUUUUACUUGCAAGAACAAAUCAAAAUCUUUUAGGUGCUUAAUUUCUAUUGCAUUUUGUAAGUUUUUCAUAUUAGAUGCUAUUUUCAUGAUAUAUGUUGCUCAUGCAAUCAUGGAUCAGUAGUCCUGAAAAGUUUUGAUCUUGUUAAUUCUGGAUGUAUUCUCCUCUUUCAAAGCAACAAAUGAAUUUCGAGUUUCUUGAAUUGCUGUGAUGUUUUGAUUUCAGCGCAUGAAUUUUGUGGUUUCUCAAUCAUUAUAUUACUAUUAUAUGUUAUGCAAAGGUG